AGAAAACCAAGGCUCAGACAGAGUAACUUUACCCAGCCCACACAGCUGAUCCAUCUUCGGUUGUGAAUCCGGCCCGGAAUGCAGCCACCCCUUAGAGCAACCCCCCUUGCUGCUCGUGCCCUGCUGUGCUACUGCCUCAGUCACUUCCUGCUUGGUCAAGACCACAGCUGCUGAUGUCACAGCUGAGGCACAUCAGAAAGGCUGCCUGAUUCAAAGAAAGCUGCCGGAUAAAUCAUAGAGCACAGACACUUCUACCUCAUGCUCUUAUGGGACUUUAGGAACCAAACAUAAGCACCUAUGGAAAAUGCACGGCGGUCUUGAAAGGCUGUGGUCUUUAUCAGAAAAUAUCUGAAUGACUGUUUGUUAUGUCAGUCCUACUCUGCAGGCUUGCUAAGAUGAUGAUUGAAAGGGCUCUUGGUUUCUGCUUUGGAAUCUGGCAUUUAUGUUUUGAAGCGUUGUGAGCAAGCGAUGUGGCAGAUUGCAGGGUGAGGGGGACAAACCUGGGCCAGGAGCCAGGGGUUUCUCUACCCCCUUCCCUGACUUACAGCUGGAACUGGGCUCAGUGGUUUCAGCCUCAUUUGCUAAGAAGGUCUGGGUAUGUAAUCCUGGCUGCAUCUUAAAAUCCCUAGGAGCUUUUAAGACAUAUUGACACAUAAGCUCUAACUCACAUGAAACGAAAACACAUCUCUGGGGCUGGGCUGAGCAAAUGCAUUUUUUAAAAGGCCCCUCAGGUGAUUCUGUCUCAGAGAUGUUGAAAACCAGUGGGUUAGGAGCUCAGUCAUCCACUUUCAGAUCUGUGAUUAUGCCACUAUUAAAUACAGUUGGCUAUCACAUAGAUUUUAUGCUUUAGCUUGUUCUUUUUUCCUUUGCUAUACCAAAUAAAAUCUUCUGAGCUGUAGUUCCAGUCCUUAAAAUAAUGGUUGUUACCAUACUGAGGUUAAACAUUAGUGCAUUUGCUUAACAAGGACUUUAAAACUUAUCACACUGCCAUAAUUUUUAAUGGUUUCUAUAAUGAUUAAUUAAUAAGAAAAUCAAUAAUUGGAUUUUAAGCAGGAAACUAGGCAGGAAAGUUGAAAUUCAUAGACCAAUUCAAUGGAAAACAUUAAAAUGUAUUGGGAGAUGCCCAAUAUUCUAUGCUGUUUGGUGGUUCACUGGUUUCUAAUCUAUUAUAACGGCACCCAUAGUUAAAAAGCACUAGUUUUUUUUUGGUCUGAUAGUUGAAAAAACAACAAUCCUUUGCACGUAGGAAUUAUUUUUUCCAACAUCAUAAUUUCUGACUUUGCACAUAUUCUAUUGAAUUGCCAAAAUGACUUUAAAGAGUCUAGUACAUGCAGGGAAUAUUACAAUUGCAAUCAUUAUUUUAACACCAUCUCCUCCCCCUCUUCCCUUCCCAAAAGAUAUAAAGACAUAAACAUCAUCUGCUGCCAAAUAAAUCCUGAAAUUCGAGGGCGAUGCUGGGAAGGUAUGAAAUUAGAGGGAGGCAUGUUGCUUUUGCACUUUCAGAUCAAUGGCUGAAUUCCAGACCCGGGGAAGCCUUUCAGAUCCGCAUGUAAUUUGUUUAAACAAUUGCUGUUCAUCUGCCACAGCAGCACUUGUAAUGCCGCAGGGAGGAACUUGCAGCAUUUCUUGCUCACUUCAAGAAAUCAACUAUAACAAACCUCUUCCAGAAGACUACGACAUCCAUAUUUCUGCAAUAGUUAGAUAAAAGUUAAAGAACUGUUCCUUUUGUGAAUAUUCACAGUCCACUGCAUAUAAUCGUUUAUGAAAACUGAACCCUAUAAAGAGCGAGAGUAGAGGACUG
This 1801-nucleotide long non-coding RNA is filed under the name Homo sapiens (human). RNAcentral's name for it is "HSALNT0160650". Lineage: Eukaryota; Metazoa; Chordata; Mammalia; Primates; Hominidae. The record is from RNAcentral.